UUCAAUACCGUUUGAUCUUGUGCCAGCAGCAGCGGUAAAACAAGUGGUGUAAACGUUCUAUAGUUUGAUUAGGUGUAAUGUGUGAUU
This 87-nucleotide ribosomal RNA is filed under the name Gambierdiscus australes. RNAcentral describes it as "partial Bacterial small subunit ribosomal RNA". Lineage: Eukaryota; Dinophyceae; Gonyaulacales; Pyrocystaceae. The record is from RNAcentral.